AGAGUUUGAUCCUGGCUCAGGAUGAACGCUGGCGGCGUGCUUAACACAUGCAAGUCGAACGAUCCUUCGGGAUAGUGGCGGACGGGUGAGUAACGCGUGGGAAUCUGCCCUCAGGAGGGGGAUAACGGCUGGAAACGGCCGCUAAUACCCCAUAUGCCGAGAGGUGAAAUGAAUUUCGCCUGAGGAUGAGCCCGCGUCUGAUUAGCUAGUUGGUGGGGUAAAGGCCUACCAAGGCAACGAUCAGUAGCUGGUCUGAGAGGAUGAUCAGCCACACUGGGACUGAGACACGGCCCAGACUCCUACGGGAGGCAGCAGUGGGGAAUUUUCCGCAAUGGGCGAAAGCCUGACGGAGCAACGCCGCGUGAGGGAUGAAGGCCUCUGGGCUGUAAACCUCUUUUCUCAAGGAAGAAGACCUGACGGUACUUGAGGAAUAAGCCACGGCUAAUUCCGUGCCAGCAGCCGCGGUAAUACGGGAGUGGCAAGCGUUAUCCGGAAUUAUUGGGCGUAAAGCGUCCGCAGGCGGCCUUGUAAGUCUGUUGUUAAAGCGUGGAGCUCAACUCCAUUUAAGCAAUGGAAACUACAAGGCUGAAGUGUGGUAGGGGCAGAGGGAAUUCCCGGUGUAGCGGUGAAAUGCGUAGAUAUCGGGAAGAACACCAGUGGCGAAGGCGCUCUGCUGGACCAUAACUGACGCUCAUGGACGAAAGCCAGGGAGCGAAAGGGAUUAGAUACCCCUGUAGUCCUGGCCGUAAACGAUGAACACUAGGUGUCGGGGGAAUCGACCCCCUCGGUGUCGUAGCCAACGCGUUAAGUGUUCCGCCUGGGGAGUACGCACGCAAGUGUGAAACUCAAAGGAAUUGACGGGGGCCCGCACAAGCGGUGGAGUAUGUGGUUUAAUUCGAUGCAACGCGAAGAACCUUACCAGGGUUUGACAUCCUGCGAACCCCUGAGAAAUCGGGGGGUGCCUUCGGGAGCGCAGAGACAGGUGGUGCAUGGCUGUCGUCAGCUCGUGUCGUGAGAUGUUGGGUUAAGUCCCGCAACGAGCGCAACCCACGUCUUUAGUUGCCAGCAUUCAGUUGGGCACUCUAGAGAGACCGCCGGUGAUAAACCGGAGGAAGGUGUGGAUGACGUCAAGUCAUCAUGCCCCUUACAUCCUGGGCUACACACGUACUACAAUGCUACGGACAAAGGGCAGCAAGCUCGCGAGAGUUAGCAAAUCCCAUAAACCGUGGCUCAGUUCAGAUCGUAGGCUGCAACUCGCCUACGUGAAGGAGGAAUCGCUAGUAAUCGCAGGUCAGCAUACUGCGGUGAAUACGUUCCCGGGCCUUGUACACACCGCCCGUCACACCAUGGAAGUUGGCCAUGCCCGAAGUCGUUACUCCAACCC
This 1384-nucleotide ribosomal RNA is filed under the name metagenome. Its description in RNAcentral is "bacterial SSU rRNA". It matches the Rfam family "Bacterial small subunit ribosomal RNA". The record is from RNAcentral.